Long non-coding RNA from Homalodisca vitripennis (glassy-winged sharpshooter), 229 nucleotides. RefSeq lists it as uncharacterized. Lineage: Eukaryota; Metazoa; Arthropoda; Insecta; Hemiptera; Cicadellidae. The record is from RefSeq and is a predicted model, not a curated record. The transcript has 2 exons.
UUUCAAGAUUUCAAAACUUUGGAAAGUACAUCAGGUCAAAAGGCACAGUAACGAUAUUUUUGCCAGUGAAGAUUUUAACCACAACGAAUCAAGUUAGGGAUUGCUGUCGUCUGAAUGUUGCAGCUUGAGAGGUCGUCAACGAACCGUCCAACUUGUGUCAACGAAAAAAGCUUCAGAUGUUUAUAUUUUAGGUAACAUAUAUUUUAUUAAAGAAGCAAGUUGAAAUGUU